RNAcentral lists this ribosomal RNA (1410 nucleotides) under Staphylococcus pseudoxylosus. Its description in RNAcentral is "bacterial SSU rRNA". It matches the Rfam family "Bacterial small subunit ribosomal RNA". Lineage: Bacteria; Bacillati; Bacillota; Bacilli; Caryophanales; Staphylococcaceae. The record is from RNAcentral.
GUCGAGCGAACAGAUAAGGAGCUUGCUCCUUUGACGUUAGCGGCGGACGGGUGAGUAACACGUGGGUAACCUACCUAUAAGACUGGGAUAACUUCGGGAAACCGGAGCUAAUACCGGAUAACAUUUGGAACCGCAUGGUUCUAAAGUGAAAGAUGGUUUUGCUAUCACUUAUAGAUGGACCCGCGCCGUAUUAGCUAGUUGGUAAGGUAACGGCUUACCAAGGCGACGAUACGUAGCCGACCUGAGAGGGUGAUCGGCCACACUGGAACUGAGACACGGUCCAGACUCCUACGGGAGGCAGCAGUAGGGAAUCUUCCGCAAUGGGCGAAAGCCUGACGGAGCAACGCCGCGUGAGUGAUGAAGGGUUUCGGCUCGUAAAACUCUGUUAUUAGGGAAGAACAAAUGUGUAAGUAACUGUGCACAUCUUGACGGUACCUAAUCAGAAAGCCACGGCUAACUACGUGCCAGCAGCCGCGGUAAUACGUAGGUGGCAAGCGUUAUCCGGAAUUAUUGGGCGUAAAGCGCGCGUAGGCGGUUUCUUAAGUCUGAUGUGAAAGCCCACGGCUCAACCGUGGAGGGUCAUUGGAAACUGGGAAACUUGAGUGCAGAAGAGGAAAGUGGAAUUCCAUGUGUAGCGGUGAAAUGCGCAGAGAUAUGGAGGAACACCAGUGGCGAAGGCGACUUUCUGGUCUGUAACUGACGCUGAUGUGCGAAAGCGUGGGGAUCAAACAGGAUUAGAUACCCUGGUAGUCCACGCCGUAAACGAUGAGUGCUAAGUGUUAGGGGGUUUCCGCCCCUUAGUGCUGCAGCUAACGCAUUAAGCACUCCGCCUGGGGAGUACGACCGCAAGGUUGAAACUCAAAGGAAUUGACGGGGACCCGCACAAGCGGUGGAGCAUGUGGUUUAAUUCGAAGCAACGCGAAGAACCUUACCAAAUCUUGACAUCCUUUGAAAACUCUAGAGAUAGAGCCUUCCCCUUCGGGGGACAAAGUGACAGGUGGUGCAUGGUUGUCGUCAGCUCGUGUCGUGAGAUGUUGGGUUAAGUCCCGCAACGAGCGCAACCCUUAAGCUUAGUUGCCAUCAUUAAGUUGGGCACUCUAGGUUGACUGCCGGUGACAAACCGGAGGAAGGUGGGGAUGACGUCAAAUCAUCAUGCCCCUUAUGAUUUGGGCUACACACGUGCUACAAUGGACAAUACAAAGGGCAGCUAAACCGCGAGGUCAUGCAAAUCCCAUAAAGUUGUUCUCAGUUCGGAUUGUAGUCUGCAACUCGACUACAUGAAGCUGGAAUCGCUAGUAAUCGUAGAUCAGCAUGCUACGGUGAAUACGUUCCCGGGUCUUGUACACACCGCCCGUCACACCACGAGAGUUUGUAACACCCGAAGCCGGUGGAGUAACCAUUUAUGGAGCU